This is a long non-coding RNA of Bubalus bubalis (water buffalo), 801 nucleotides long. RefSeq lists it as uncharacterized. NCBI's taxonomy places the organism in Eukaryota, Metazoa, Chordata, Mammalia, Artiodactyla, Bovidae. The record is from RefSeq and is a predicted model, not a curated record. The transcript is spliced from 4 exons.
ACAGCAGACUCGUGACAGAAAAUCAGUCAAAGCAGGCUGAUUCAACAACUCACGCUCAAAGGGCCCUGCAUGGCCUCCUGGGUGUCUCAUACUUCUAGAAGCGUGAAGACAGAGGCAUGUCUAUAUCCUCAAAGACUCCUGUGAAAUGAGGAGUGCUGGAAGAAAUGUGUGGGGAUCAGGGCCGCAGUCAGAGAAACGGAGCUUGGCUGCAAAUUAAACAGCCAGUCUGCUGAGACCUGAGUCACCACCAGACACUGCAAAUUAUUAAUACUCACGCCUGCUAAAUUCUUGGACUUUGCAAGACAGUGUCUCCCUGGCUGAAGCUGAGUCUUCCAGCUGAUGACUUUACCCAGACUGAGAAAGGUCACUUCACAGGCACUGCCUCUGGUCCUUAUAGCUCAGCGCAGCCUGGGAAACCUCAACGGUGUUCUACAGACUCCACCACCUAGAACCUCCUGUGGUCUCUCAAAAGGUCCACUCUUAUUCUGUCCUCCUGUGAAUGAGAAAGGGACUGCAUCUCAGUUGAGAGACCCUUUAUGCUCCACGAAAACGGAGAUGCAGCCGCCCCUCCCCUGCUGCUCAAGGAGAGGACCAGAAGCCUCCUCUCCCACCAGACACCAGAACUUCCGCUGGUGACCAUCACAGCCGCUGCUCCUCCAGACGCAAUGAUCUCUUUGUGGUUGUUGAUUCCACACCACCCGUUGCUGUUCCGAAGUGCAGGACUCAAGCAGACUGGUGUUGAAGCCGGGGACCCAUCUACAUGACAAGAGAUCGCACGGUCCUCAGAACUGUUCCUCCCCA